GUAAAAUAUCACACAUCAUAUACACAUCAUAGUAUCAUAUCAUUAAAGGAAAUAACAAGCAAGUUUAACUCUAUAUUUAAAUGAGGAGGAUUAAUCACUGGAUGUAAAAUCCUCUAUGGCCAUUGUUAAUUUUUGUUAUAUACCAAAACUAAUACUGAUCCUGGACUCAACCCCGAUGGACCAAUCGAGGUUUGGAACAUCAGAUUGAAUGGAUAGGGAGCAGAGAGAGGGUUUUUAGUAUCUGGAGCAGUUAUCCCAUACUCCCUAAUUUUUGCACCUAAUUCUUCAGCUGAAAGAUCAUCUAAUGCAGCAAGAACAUGCUUCAAUUCUGC
This 332-nucleotide unclassified non-coding RNA is filed under the name Hevea brasiliensis (rubber tree). The record is from RNAcentral. Lineage: Eukaryota; Viridiplantae; Streptophyta; Magnoliopsida; Malpighiales; Euphorbiaceae.